RNAcentral lists this ribosomal RNA (253 nucleotides) under uncultured bacterium. RNAcentral's name for it is "partial 16S ribosomal RNA". It matches the Rfam family "Bacterial small subunit ribosomal RNA", at positions 524 to 776 of the family's 1533-position model. The record is from RNAcentral.
UACGAAGGGGGCUAGCGUUGCUCGGAAUUACUGGGCGUAAAGGGCGCGUAGGCGGCUUGCACCGUCAGAUGUGAAAUUCUUGGGCUUAACCUGGGGGCUGCAUUUGAUACGUGUGGGCUUGAGUGCGGAAGAGGGUCGUGGAAUUCCCAGUGUAGAGGUGAAAUUCGUAGAUAUUGGGAAGAACACCGGUGGCGAAGGCGGCGACCUGGUCCGUGACUGACGCUGAGGCGCGAAAGCCAGGGGAGCAAACGGG